This 769-nucleotide ribosomal RNA is filed under the name uncultured Enterobacteriaceae bacterium. RNAcentral's name for it is "bacterial SSU rRNA". It matches the Rfam family "Bacterial small subunit ribosomal RNA", at positions 730 to 1502 of the family's 1533-position model. The record is from RNAcentral. Lineage: Bacteria; Pseudomonadati; Pseudomonadota; Gammaproteobacteria; Enterobacterales; Enterobacteriaceae.
CUGACAGAUACUGACGCUGAGAUGCGAAGCGUGGGGAGCAAACAGGAUUAGAUACCUGGUAGUCCACGCUGUAAACGAUGUCGAUUUGGAGUUUGUUGCCUAGAGUGAUGGGCUCCGAAGCUAACGCGAUAAAUCGACCGCUGGGGAGUACGGCCGCAAGGUUAAAACUCAAAUGAAUUGACGGGGGCCCGCACAAGCGGUGGAGCAUGUGGUUUAAUUCGAUGCAACGCGAAGAACCUUACCUGGUCUUGACAUCCAUAGAAUUCUGCAGAGAUGUGGGAGUGCCUUCGGGAACUAUGAGACAGGUGCUGCAUGGCUGUCGUCAGCUCGUGUUGUGAAAUGUUGGGUUAAGUCCCGCAACGAGCGCAACCCUUAUUCUUUGUUGCCAGCGAUUUGGUCGGGAACUCAAAGGAGACUGCCGUUGAUAAAGCGGAGGAAGGUGGGGACGACGUCAAGUCAUCAUGGCCCUUACGACCAGGGCUACACACGUGCUACAAUGGCGUAUACAAAGGGAAGCGAAGGUGCGAGCUGGAGCGGAUCUCAUAAAGUACGUCUAAGUUCGGAUUGGAGUCUGCAACUCGACUCCAUGAAGUCGGAAUCGCUAGUAAUCGUAGAUCAGAAUGCUACGGUGAAUACGUUCCCGGGCCUUGUACACACCGCCCGUCACACCAUGGGAGUGGGUUGCACCAGAAGUAGAUAGCUUAACCGCGAGGGGGGCGUUUACCACGGUGUGAUUCAUGACUGGGGUGAAGUCGUAACAAGGUAACCA